CGGCAAAAGCUCAAAUUUGAAAUCUGGCACCUUCGGUGUCCGAGUUGUAAUUUGAAGAAGGUAACUUUGGAGUUGGCUCUUGUCUAUGUUCCUUGGAACAGGACGUCACAGAGGGUGAGAAUCCCGUGCGAUGAGAUGCCCAAUUCUAUGUAAAGUGCUUUCGAAGAGUCGAGUUGUUUGGGAAUGCAGCUCUAAGUGGGUGGUAAAUUCCAUCUAAAGCUAAAUAUUGGCGAGAGACCGAUAGCGAACAAGUACAGUGAUGGAAAGAUGAAAAGAACUUUGAAAAGAGAGUGAAAAAGUACGUGAAAUUGUUGAAAGGGAAGGGCUUGAGAUCAGACUUGGUAUUUUGCGAUCCUUUCCUUCUUGGUUGGGUUCCUCGCAGCUUACUGGGCCAGCAUCGGUUUGGAUGGUAGGAUAAUGACUAAGGAAUGUGGCUCUACUUCGGUGGAGUGUUAUAGCCUUGGUUGAUACUGCCUGUCUAGACCGAGGACUGCGUCUUUUGACUAGGAUGUUGGCAUAAUGAUCUUAAGCCACCCGUCUU
This 541-nucleotide ribosomal RNA is filed under the name Debaryomyces hansenii. RNAcentral's name for it is "eukaryotic LSU rRNA". It matches the Rfam family "Eukaryotic large subunit ribosomal RNA", at positions 99 to 655 of the family's 3401-position model. The record is from RNAcentral. Lineage: Eukaryota; Fungi; Ascomycota; Pichiomycetes; Serinales; Debaryomycetaceae.